Molecule: long non-coding RNA, 539 nt
Filed under: Monodelphis domestica (gray short-tailed opossum)
Lineage: Eukaryota; Metazoa; Chordata; Mammalia; Didelphimorphia; Didelphidae
Description: lncRNA (ENSMODG00000041611.1)
Source: RNAcentral
CAUGGGAGAUGGGAGGAGCUUGGCUUUUGGUUCCAAGUCUCUGGAUUGAGGUACCUCUACUUACUUCAGCUUGAAGGGACAGCCCAAUCAGCUCUGAAAAGAUGUUGCAGAAAUAGCUUCACGUAUUAGAAGAGAGGAAGAACAGGAUUUCCAGGGCACAAAUGGCUUUGUGCUUCAGGCAGGCAUUACCAAGUGAUCCAGUUCUAGGCAGGAAUUUCAGAAUGGACCUCUCUGAUAAUGUUACAGGUGAGGGAAAUAAGGUUCUUUGAGGUUCCACCCUGCCCAAAAUUACUCAACCAGGACUGAAGUGAAAGAGCUGGGACUGAAUGCAUGAAAGUUCAGGUAUUCUCUCUUUAUAUCCAAUUCUUCUACUUUUAAACCAACCACAGUGACUCUUUGUAAAGAAAUAACUCCAAGUGAGUGCUCUUACUAUUUGAUUAAAAAAAAAAGUGUGGGGAGAGAUGAAAUGAUUUAAUGAUAUUUAAUACCCCUAUAUGGGAUAAUCUAGGAAAUGCAGGCUAAGGGUUUUUCCAACUUUU